CUACUCACUCUCCUGCUCCUCAGGUUCAGCCUUAAUCUGCUGUGUGAGGGAUGUAUGUCUACUCACUCUCCUGCUCCUCAGGUUCAGCCUUAAUCUGCUGUGUGAGGGAUGUGUGUCUACUCACUCUCCUGCUCCUCAGGUUCAGCCUUAAUCUGCUGUGUGAGGGAUGUGUGUCUACUCACUCUCCUGCUCCUCAGGUUCAGCCUUAAUCUGCUGUGUGAGGGAUGUGUGUCUACUCACUCUCCUGCUCCUCAGGUUCAGCCUUAAUCUGCUGUGUGAGGGAUGUGUGUCUACUCACUCUCCUGCUCCUCAGUUUCAGCCUUAAUCUGCUGUGUGAGGGAUGUGUGUCUACUCACUCUCCUGCUCCUCAGGUUCAGCCUUAAUCUGCUGUGUGAGGGAUGUGUGUCUACUCACUCUCCUGCUCCUCAGUUUCAGCCUUAAUCUGCUGUGUGAGGGAUGUGUGUCUACUCACUCUCCUGCUCCUCAGGUUCAGCCUUAAUCUGCUGUGUGAGGGAUGUGUGUCUACUCACUCUCCUGCUCCUCAGGUUCAGCCUUAAUCUGCUGUGUGAGGGAUGUGUGUCUACUCACUCUCCUGCUCCUCAGGUUCAGCCUUAAUCUGCUGUGUGAGGGAUGUGUGUCUACUCACUCUCCUGCUCCUCAGUUUCAGCCUUAAUCUGCUGUGUGAGGGAUGUGUGUCU
This is a long non-coding RNA of Oncorhynchus keta (chum salmon), 698 nucleotides long. RefSeq lists it as uncharacterized. The transcript is spliced from 4 exons. The record is from RefSeq and is a predicted model, not a curated record. Lineage: Eukaryota; Metazoa; Chordata; Actinopteri; Salmoniformes; Salmonidae.